Long non-coding RNA from Zingiber officinale, 524 nucleotides. RefSeq lists it as uncharacterized. The record is from RefSeq and is a predicted model, not a curated record. NCBI's taxonomy places the organism in Eukaryota, Viridiplantae, Streptophyta, Magnoliopsida, Zingiberales, Zingiberaceae. The transcript is spliced from 3 exons.
AGGGAUUAUUUUCCUCUCCCGUGACCUAACCUUUCCCCUCUCCUCCUCCCUUCUGCGCGUGACGGCGUUUCGGCUCGAGCGAAGACGAAGCCGACGGAGCUAGGGCUCGACUCCGGCGGUCGGCCAAGGCAAGGCUCCAUGGGUUCUUCACAGAUCCGAGCUCUCCUCGGUGAGGAGAGCGCGUAGACAGAGGAGUUGCUGGAAUAUCGAGUUCUCCGAAGCCCUAGAAGUUUUCUCCUUCGGUUGUAAGUCAAGGAACUCCAAGAAGCAAGAACAUGGUGUACAGAAUUUAGUUGCUAGGGAUUUAGCCCUCUUUCUUUGCUUUUGGAACAUAUGAAAUCAAGAUGAGUGGUUCGGCUUUGAGUUAAGUACAUAUGAAGUUUUAUAAAAGAAGGGAUCGGAGCAUUUUUGCACGUAAUGAACAUGUAACAAGUCUAUAGAUCAAGCAAAAUCUGAUAGGAAAGAUAAAGGAAAGGAAAAUAUAUAGAAAGGAAGGCGACGAGGAGGUGUUCAAAGGAUGUGUG